Molecule: microRNA precursor, 59 nt
Filed under: Heliconius melpomene (postman butterfly)
Lineage: Eukaryota; Metazoa; Arthropoda; Insecta; Lepidoptera; Nymphalidae
Description: Hme-Mir-3-P18_pre stem-loop
Source: RNAcentral
AACUGUCAGUCAUUCAGUAUAUAGUGUUUAAGUUCUAUCACUGGGUGUUUGACAGAUCU